Molecule: ribosomal RNA, 87 nt
Filed under: Agathobacter rectalis
Lineage: Bacteria; Bacillati; Bacillota; Clostridia; Lachnospirales; Lachnospiraceae
Also listed under: 3 other names
Description: partial 23S ribosomal RNA
Rfam family: Bacterial large subunit ribosomal RNA
Source: RNAcentral
UUGAAGACGACGAGGUAGAUAGGGCAGAGGUGGAAGUGUGGUAACACAUGGAGCUGACUGUUACUAAUCGGGUGAGGGCUUGACCAA